GGACUACAGGGGUUUCUAAUCCCAUUUGCUACCCUAGCUUUCGUCUCUGAGUGUUAGUAAUAGCCCAGUAAAGUGCUUUCGCCAUCGGUGUUCUUUCCAAUAUCUACGCAUUUCACCGCUCCACUGGAAAUUCCCUUUACCUCUACUAUACUCUAGUCUAAUAGUUUCGACUGCGAUUUUGAAGUUGAGCCAUCAAGAUUUAACAGUUGACUUAUUAAACCACCUACAGACGCUUUACGCCCAGUGAUUCCGGAUAACACUUGCAUCCUCCGUCUUACCGCGGCUGCUG
This 289-nucleotide unclassified non-coding RNA is filed under the name uncultured fungus. RNAcentral's name for it is "sequence contains ITS1". Lineage: Eukaryota; Fungi. The record is from RNAcentral.